Uranotaenia lowii is the source of this 349-nucleotide long non-coding RNA. RefSeq lists it as uncharacterized. The transcript has 3 exons. NCBI's taxonomy places the organism in Eukaryota, Metazoa, Arthropoda, Insecta, Diptera, Culicidae. The record is from RefSeq and is a predicted model, not a curated record.
ACCAUUAUUCGAAUAUUUUAACAGCAUGCUUUGAAGUUUUUGUUUAUUUCUGGUUCAUUUUUUUUUCGUCAGUUGUCAGAGCUAGCGUUUAAACCUGCAGAAAAAGGAACAGAUUAUCGGAUCAAAAUUUUUAGAUCGUAUACGACAUGUAUCACGACGUGAAGAGAAUAUUAAGAUUAUUUGUUUUCUAGCCGGAGAUAUUGAUCUUGCCCGACGAGUGCAUCCCCGGUCAAGUUACUUAAACGGAUUCUCUUGGAACAUCCUGACUGGACACCUGUGAACAACAAGGGAGCUAUUUUCGUGGAAACUCUGCUGGCUGAUUCGUCGACCGUAAGUUGAUUAUUAUCGA